Molecule: long non-coding RNA, 2260 nt
Organism: Cavia porcellus (domestic guinea pig)
Lineage: Eukaryota; Metazoa; Chordata; Mammalia; Rodentia; Caviidae
Exons: 2
Source: RefSeq, a predicted model, not a curated record
AAUUGCGGUGAACAUUUUGAAGUCAUUGAGGACGUCAAAACCACCAUGAAAAGACACUCGGGAAAGUGGACUCCGGAACCGCUUCGGAAAGUGGCCAGAUUGAUGUGGCUUUGGAGCCACCUCUGCGUGCCUGGGAAAGGCUGUAGAAGGGGAAGCCAUACCUACUGUCAAAGCUCCUGACCAUCCUGAUCAACAGCAGCACACCCAAUGAAUCAGCAACUGGGGUCUCACAUUACUAAAAAGUUUUGCACUUCAAAAGAAAUCACCAGCAAAGUGAAAAGAAAACCCACAGAAUGGGAAAGAAUUUGAGCUGACAAUCCCUCAGACCAAGGACUUGCAUCCGGAACAUAAAAAGUUUUGAAAAACAUCAAGCCCCCAAAAUUCAAAGACCCUCUCCAAAAAUGGGCAUCAGAGAUAAUUAUACAGUUCUCAGAUGAAGACACACGAAUGGCAAAUAAACACAUGAAGAAAUGUUCACCAUCACUUACAACAGUGAGAUAUCAUCUGUUGUAGUCAGGGGUUGUGCAGAGCACAAUUAGAAUCAGGACAUAGGGGCUGGGGAUUUAGCUCAGCGGCAUAAGCGCCUGCCUUGCAAGCAGGCAGUCGUGAGUUCGAUCCCUGGCACCGAUAAAAACAAAAAAGACAAACAAAAAAAAAAUCAGGACAUGGAGCUUAUAAUAUGGUUUUAUGAUGGUUACCCAGAGUUAACACAAGAGACUGCAGGAAAUCCAUCCGCAAUGCUAAAGACAUAGAAUAUUUAGCCAAGGGCCUAAAUCCCACAGCAAUGUCCGACACGAGUCCAGAUGAAGACCAGGAGCUCAUGACAGUGCCUCCCACGAGUCCAAUUGGAGGUCCAGAGCCCAUAAGAAGGACUCACACCAGCCUCUUUUACAAAUCCGUGCUGGGAAGACCCAAAGGCCAGUGAUGGAAGCUAGGAAGUCCAUGCCAGCGGGGUGAAGGAGCUGUGCUGGUGGGAUGAGGUUUCUACACUGGAGCUAAGAAGUCACACUCACAACAAAGACCGGGCUGUCCUGAAAGGCACCAUAGCCAUCCUCAGCGACACAGAGGCCCCGAGCUCCUCCUCUGACAAGCACUUUUGGGUACAUGCCAGGAAGCCAGUGUGAUGAGUUCUUCCUGGAGAUCAAGAGGCACACAUCUUCCUCUCCACAGCCAGGAAUGCUCGAUGUGAGGACCAGAGCUUCUCUGGGAGAACCAACGGCUCAAACAGCAACACAUAGGAGAACCCACAAUGCCUCAGCACCUCAAAGAUUUAACGCAUAGCUUCUUCUUCCCUGUUUAUGCUGGCAACUUUCCUCAGGUGGAACAUUUAUGCUCAGCACCCUGCUGAUUUAAUUCAGCUGGUGUUAAGUUUAUCACCAGUUUUUAACCCGUAACAUCAUCUUACCCCGGAAAGAAUGGCUGCCAUCAAGUUAUCAACUGAUAACAAAUGUCAGUGAGGCUGCAGGGAAAAAGGAACAGUGCUCCACUGUUGCUGGAAGUGUAGACUGGUGCAGCUGCUGUGGAAAUCAGUUUGGAGACUCCUCAACAAACCAGGAUUGGAAGUUCCAUUCAAUCCAGCUAUUCCCUACCUGGGUAUUUUCCCAGAAAAACUGAAAAGGUCAUAUCACAGUGAUAGAUGUGCACCAAAGUUCAUAGCAGCACAAUUUGUAGCUAAAUCUUGGAAACAACCAAAAUGUUCAUCGACCACAAAAUGGAUGAAAAAGAUGUGGUAUUUUUAUCCAAUGGAAUAUUACUCAGCUAUAAAAAAGGAUGAUCUUGGGGCUUUUAUAGGUAAAUGGAGGUAAUUUGAGACUGUUUCCAUAAGUGAAAUAAAUCAGAUUCAUAUUUGUAAUAUCAUACUGUCUCUCUAGUGUAAAAAAUAAUAAAAACUGAAAGAGCAAUAAGAUCCAAAAUGUAUAAUAGAUAUUGUAAAAAUUAAAGGGAAGGAACGUGCUCUAAAGGAUAUAACUAUGUUUAAGUGUGUAAGAUAGAUGACCAUAUUACUAAAUUUUCAUUGGAUCAUUGAACAGAAGGGUUUGCACUGUCAGUGUUUGAGUGUCUAUCACUUCUUAUGCUUUGAUUUUGUAACCUGAACAACUAUUUCUAAGAUGACAAUAUGUAAUAUAUCAACUAGCAAUUUCUUAGUGUUAAUUUUUUUGAAUUCUGUAUUAUUCUACAUUUUUUCUAUUUUGUUUUUUCUUUCUUUCUUUCUUUAAAUAAAAAAAAAGAGCAGCACACCCACAAAGGAGCUUCCUCCCAA